UACAGGGGGUGCAAACGUUGCUCGGAAUCAUUGGGCGUACAGCGCACGUAGGCGGUUCGUUAUGUCGGAUGUGAAAGCCCUUGGCUUAACCGAGGAAGUGCAUCCGAAACUGGCGAGCUAGAGUACUAAAGAGGAUCGCGGAAUUCCCGGUGUAGAGGUGAAAUUCGUAGAUAUCGGGAGGAACACCGGUGGCGAAGGCGGCGAUCUGGGUAGAUACUGACGCUGAGGUGCGAAAGCGUGGGGAGCAAACAGG
RNAcentral lists this ribosomal RNA (253 nucleotides) under uncultured bacterium. RNAcentral's name for it is "partial 16S ribosomal RNA". It matches the Rfam family "Bacterial small subunit ribosomal RNA", at positions 524 to 776 of the family's 1533-position model. The record is from RNAcentral.